AGGAGAACAAUAGGAACAAGUCACUUCCCCAUUCCAAGAAUCCGCGCACACAUGCAGCUUGGCACAUAUCCCUUACCAGCCUAAAUUAGGA
This is a long non-coding RNA of Perognathus longimembris pacificus (Pacific pocket mouse), 91 nucleotides long. RefSeq lists it as uncharacterized. The transcript has 3 exons. The record is from RefSeq and is a predicted model, not a curated record. Lineage: Eukaryota; Metazoa; Chordata; Mammalia; Rodentia; Heteromyidae.